Molecule: ribosomal RNA, 253 nt
Filed under: uncultured bacterium
Lineage: Bacteria
Description: partial 16S ribosomal RNA
Rfam family: Bacterial small subunit ribosomal RNA
Source: RNAcentral
UACCGAGGGGGCAAGCGUUGUUCGGAAUUACUGGGCGUAAAGGGCGCGUAGGCGGCCUUCUACGUCGAACGUGAAAUCCCCGGGCUCAACCCGGGAACUGCGUCCGAUACUGGAAGGCUUGAAUCCGGGAGAGGGAUGUGGAAUUCCAGGUGUAGCGGUGAAAUGCGUAGAUAUCGUGAGGAAGACCAGUGGCGAAGGCGGGUCUCUGGACAGUUCCUGACGCUGAGGCGCGAAGGCCAGGGGAGCAAACGGG